CGGCGAGUGAAGCGGCAAAAGCUCAAAUUUGAAAUCUGGAGCCUUCGGCUUCCGAGUUGUAAUUUGCAGAGGGAGCCUCGGAGGGCGCGUCGGUCCAAGUUCCUUGGAAGAGGAUACCGCAGAGGGUGAGAGUCCCGUAUGCGGCCGACGGUGCGCUCCGUGUGAGGCCCCUUCGACGAGUCGAGUUGUUUGGGAAUGCAGCUCCAAGCGGGUGGUAAAUUCCAUCUAAAGCUAAAUACCGGCCAGAGACCGAUAGCGAACAAGUAGAGUGAUCGAAAGAUGAAAAGCACUUUGAAAAGAGAGUGAAACAGUACGUGAAAUUGUUGAAAGGGAAGCGCAUGGGGGCAGACUUGGGCGCGGGGUUCAGCGUUUCUGUUUGGAGCGUGUACUUCCCCGCGUGCAGGCCAGCAUCGGUUCCGGGGGCCGGACAAAGGCGACGGGAAUGUGGCUCCCCUCGGGGAGUGUUAUAGCCCGGCGUGCAAUGCGGCC
RNAcentral lists this ribosomal RNA (489 nucleotides) under Scolecobasidium humicola. RNAcentral's name for it is "eukaryotic LSU rRNA". It matches the Rfam family "Eukaryotic large subunit ribosomal RNA", at positions 87 to 580 of the family's 3401-position model. The record is from RNAcentral. Lineage: Eukaryota; Fungi; Ascomycota; Dothideomycetes; Venturiales; Sympoventuriaceae.